GUCCAGCUGACAUGUCACAAAUAGGACGAAACGCGCAUCCUGGAU
This 45-nucleotide non-coding RNA is filed under the name Schistosoma mansoni. Lineage: Eukaryota; Metazoa; Platyhelminthes; Trematoda; Strigeidida; Schistosomatidae. The record is from RNAcentral.